RNAcentral lists this ribosomal RNA (254 nucleotides) under uncultured bacterium. Its description in RNAcentral is "partial 16S ribosomal RNA". It matches the Rfam family "Bacterial small subunit ribosomal RNA", at positions 524 to 776 of the family's 1533-position model. The record is from RNAcentral.
UACGUAGGUGGCAAGCGUUGUCCGGGUUUACUGGGCGUAAAGAGCGCGCAGGCGGUCGAUCAAGUCGCGUGUGAAAGCCCCCGGCUCAACUGGGGAGGGUCACGCGAUACUGAUCGACUCGAAGGCAGGAGAGGGUAGUGGAAUUCCCGGUGUAGUGGUGAAAUGCGUAGAUAUCGGGAGGAACACCAGUGGCGAAGGCGACUACCUGGCCUGUUUCUUGACGCUGAGGCGCGAAAGCUAGGGGAGCAAACGGG